RNAcentral lists this ribosomal RNA (427 nucleotides) under uncultured bacterium. RNAcentral's name for it is "partial 16S ribosomal RNA". It matches the Rfam family "Bacterial small subunit ribosomal RNA", at positions 355 to 774 of the family's 1533-position model. The record is from RNAcentral.
UGGGGAAUAUUGCACAAUGGGCGCAAGCCUGAUGCAGCCAUGCCGCGUGUCUGAAGAAGGCCUUCGGGUUGUAAAGGACUUUUGUCAGGGAAGAAAAGGGCGGGGUUAAUACCCCUGUCUGAUGACGGUACCUGAAGAAUAAGCACCGGCUAACUACGUGCCAGCAGCCGCGGUAAUACGUAGGGUGCGAGCGUUAAUCGGAAUUACUGGGCGUAAAGCGGGCGCAGACGGUUACUUAAGCAGGAUGUGAAAUCCCCGGGCUCAACCUGGGAACUGCGUUCUGAACUGGGUGACUAGAGUGUGUCAGAGGGAGGUAGAAUUCCACGUGUAGCAGUGAAAUGCGUAGAGAUGUGGAGGAAUACCGAUGGCGAAGGCAGCCUCCUGGGAUAACACUGACGUUCAUGCCCGAAAGCGUGGGUAGCAAACA